GUUAAUUUCAAAAUUUUAUAAUAUUUAAAUUGUCCAAAUUCUAAAAAGUCAUAAUAAACUUGAAAAAUAUGAAAUUUUGCCUCGCUUUUUGCAAUAUAUAAUGAUCUCUCAAAAUAGAGUAGAUUUUUUUUGAACUCAAACUUGAAAAGAUUAUGAAAUUUUAAAAGAAUUAUUCUUGAUAUCAUAGAGAAGAGAAGCACAUGACAUACUUACUUGAAUUUUUGUCAGAAAGGUUGAAUCAAUAAUUAAUGUAAAUUUUAUUCUUCUAAGGUGAAAAUGCUCCAACUUUUAGAAAAUUAUUCUUUGUUGAUCAAAAUAUUCAUUUUCUCUUUUUGGUAUAUUUUUCUAACUUUGCAUAUAAUCUUGCAUCUCUAAGUUUUUGUAACAUAUAACAAACAAAAAUUUCAUACUCUUUUGUAUUCUUAGAAUAGGUUGAGGGAUCAUCCAAAUAUCAGAAGAUAAAAUCAUCAAAAAAUUUACAAAAGACAUCAUUCAUUAAAUGUUCAAAAAUAGCUGGUCCAUUUGAGACUCCAAAAGGUAUGAUAUUAUAUUCAAA
This 556-nucleotide long non-coding RNA is filed under the name Physcomitrium patens. RNAcentral describes it as "long non-coding RNA (PPAT_LNC012314)". The record is from RNAcentral. Lineage: Eukaryota; Viridiplantae; Streptophyta; Bryopsida; Funariales; Funariaceae.